RNAcentral lists this ribosomal RNA (425 nucleotides) under uncultured bacterium. RNAcentral describes it as "partial 16S ribosomal RNA". It matches the Rfam family "Bacterial small subunit ribosomal RNA", at positions 354 to 796 of the family's 1533-position model. The record is from RNAcentral.
GUGGGGAAUCUUGCGCAAUGGGCGAAAGCCUGACGCAGCCAUGCCGCGUGAAUGAUGAAGGUCUUAGGAUUGUAAAAUUCUUUCACCGGGGACGAUAAUGACGGUACCCGGAGAAGAAGCUCCGGCUAACUUCGUGCCAGCAGCCGCGGUAAUACGAAGGGGGCUAGCGUUGCUCGGAAUUACUGGGCGUAAAGGGCGCGUAGGCGGACAGCUUAGUCAGAGGUGAAAGCCCAGGGCUCAACCUUGGAAUUGCCUUGGAUACUGGCUGUCUUGAGUUUGGGAGAGGUGAGUGGAACUCCGAGUGUAGAGGUGAAAUUCGUAGAUAUUCGGAAGAACACCAGUGGCGAAGGCGACUCACUGGCCCAAUACUGACGCUGAGGCGCGAAAGCGUGGGGAGCAAACAGGAUUAGAAACCCUUGUAGUCC